GGCAGGGAGCGGAGCUGCGGAGCCGCCUGGUCUCCCGCGUCCAUCGGUCCAUUCCUGCGUCCUUCUGUCCGUCCGAACGCACACUUCAGGAGCAGCCGCGAGGGUGGCAUGGCAGCGAGCACAGACAUCGCUGGGCUGGAGGAGAGCUUCCGCAAGUUUGCCAUCCAUGGUGACCCCAAGGCCAGUGGGCAAGAGAUGAAUGGCAAGAACUGGGCCAAGCUGUGCAAGGACUGCAAGGUGGCUGACGGAAAGUCGGUGACAGGGACCGAUGUGGACAUCGUCUUCUCCAAAGUCAAGUGAGCCCUAAGCAGCCCCUGCUUCUCAUGUUCCCAGGAGGUGGGGAACUGGGGGGCUGGAACCAGGGAGGACAUCAAGAAGGGGUCAGGGAAACACCAUGAUCACGAAGGUCGUUCUUCCAGGGCAAACCUUAUCUAUUGCCCUCCAGAGUUGCUGACCCCCGCGAUUUCCCCAAACGUGGGAAAGAAAUGCAAUUGCAUAAUUUGUGGCGGCAGCGACUCUGUUUGUGCUUUUCCCUGGGGGAGAAAAAAGAAAGGGGAACCCUCAUGGUGCCCACAUGCCUGGCAGGGGGAAGUCUGCUCGGGUCAUCAACUAUGAGGAGUUCAAGAAGGCCCUGGAAGAGCUGGCGACCAAGCGAUUCAAGGGCAAGAACAAGGAGGAGGCCUUCGAUGCCAUCUGCCAGCUGGUGGCAGGCAAAGAGCCAGCCAAUGUGGGCGUCACC
RNAcentral lists this small RNA (739 nucleotides) under Pongo abelii (Sumatran orangutan). RNAcentral describes it as "retained intron". The stretch from base 370 to 536 matches the Rfam family "U1 spliceosomal RNA". Lineage: Eukaryota; Metazoa; Chordata; Mammalia; Primates; Hominidae. The record is from RNAcentral.